AGUGAACGCUGGCGGUAGGCCUAACACAUGCAAGUCGAACGGCAGCACGGUAAGAGCUUGCUCUUACGGGUGGCGAGUGGCGGACGGGUGAGGAGUACAUCGGAAUCUACUUUUUCGUGGGGGAUAACGUAGGGAAACUUACGCUAAUACCGCAUACGACCUACGGGUGAAAGCAGGGGAUCUUCGGACCUUGCGCGAUUGAAUGAGCCGAUGUCGGAUUAGCUAGUUGGCGGGGUAAAGGCCCACCAAGGCGACGAUCCGUAGCUGGUCUGAGAGGAUGAUCAGCCACACUGGAACUGAGACACGGUCCAGACUCCUACGGGAGGCAGCAGUGGGGAAUAUUGGACAAUGGGCGCAAGCCUGAUCCAGCCAUACCGCGUGGGUGAAGAAGGCCUUCGGGUUGUAAAGCCCUUUUGUUGGGAAAGAAAAGCAGCAGGUUAAUACCCCGCUGUUCUGACGGUACCCAAAGAAUAAGCACCGGCUAACUUCGUG
Molecule: ribosomal RNA, 492 nt
Filed under: uncultured bacterium
Lineage: Bacteria
Description: partial 16S ribosomal RNA
Rfam family: Bacterial small subunit ribosomal RNA
Source: RNAcentral